ACGAGAUCAAGCUCAGCGACUGUACCCUGCAGCCGCUCCACCACCAGACCCCUCAGGCACAAAAUAAAUCUUACAGCCACGUGUCAGGAGAAGUCACCACUCAGCUGAUGUUCCCUCCGCCUGCGGGUACACAGUGUUUCACACGCUACAAUUAUACCGGCAAGUGACAAGUUUCCUCUUUAUUCAUGUUUCACCGCGUCACCUGCUGACGAGUAUAUAAGGUGAUCCUCGGACACAGGUGGAGCUCCUCAUCAUGCCGAUCUGAAGAGGUAAGAGUGACGUUCAGAACAUAUUCUUGUUAUUUUUAGUCAAAUAUACACAAAUGUCUUAAUAGCAGCUAUUUUAGAAGGCUUAUCGGAUCUAAAUCUUACUAUUGCCACACAAUUAGUAAAUGAGAAACCAUACAACUGUCAUCUUUUUACGUAACAAUUGUGCAACUGUUGUCCCCAGAUGGCUGUCUUAGCCGUGGCAGUGUUUGUAGCGUUGUCAUCCUGUGCAGUUGGCUGCUCGGGAAGCACAAAUUCUACUGAGCUGAUGUUAUGGAGGAUGGAAGAUCAACCUCUGGCUGUGCGACUAGCUGCUGUGAUCAAGGUGUUGUGACAUACCUGUGACCUGACGAGCUGAAUAAUUGAUUUGGCAAUUGAAAGAAAGGCGGCAAUAGAACAGUAUAAGAAGACUGUAACACAUUUUCACUUAAAGGUCCAAUAUGUAGGAUUUCAAAGGGUGUUUUCAUUGGUUUAUAAUCACCUGAAAAGUUUAUAAGGUAGCCCAGAAUGGACAAAUUAAGCACUGAGUCCAUAGAGGGACUUGAGGGUGAGAUGAGAUGCCACUAAAUCCUACACGCUUGACCUGACUUUGUACACAAGUACUGGCGUC
Molecule: long non-coding RNA, 876 nt
Filed under: Sparus aurata (gilthead seabream)
Lineage: Eukaryota; Metazoa; Chordata; Actinopteri; Spariformes; Sparidae
Description: lncRNA (ENSSAUG00010018346.1)
Source: RNAcentral